RNAcentral lists this ribosomal RNA (1426 nucleotides) under Staphylococcus aureus. RNAcentral describes it as "bacterial SSU rRNA". It matches the Rfam family "Bacterial small subunit ribosomal RNA". The record is from RNAcentral. Lineage: Bacteria; Bacillati; Bacillota; Bacilli; Caryophanales; Staphylococcaceae.
CAUGCAAGUCGAGCGAACGGACGAGAAGCUUGCUUCUCUGAUGUUAGCGGCGGACGGGUGAGUAACACGUGGAUAACCUACCUAUAAGACUGGGAUAACUUCGGGAAACCGGAGCUAAUACCGGAUAAUAUUUUGAACCGCAUGGUUCAAAAGUGAAAGACGGUCUUGCUGUCACUUAUAGAUGGAUCCGCGCUGCAUUAGCUAGUUGGUAAGGUAACGGCUUACCAAGGCAACGAUGCAUAGCCGACCUGAGAGGGUGAUCGGCCACACUGGAACUGAGACACGGUCCAGACUCCUACGGGAGGCAGCAGUAGGGAAUCUUCCGCAAUGGGCGAAAGCCUGACGGAGCAACGCCGCGUGAGUGAUGAAGGUCUUCGGAUCGUAAAACUCUGUUAUUAGGGAAGAACAUAUGUGUAAGUAACUGUGCACAUCUUGACGGUACCUAAUCAGAAAGCCACGGCUAACUACGUGCCAGCAGCCGCGGUAAUACGUAGGUGGCAAGCGUUAUCCGGAAUUAUUGGGCGUAAAGCGCGCGUAGGCGGUUUUUUAAGUCUGAUGUGAAAGCCCACGGCUCAACCGUGGAGGGUCAUUGGAAACUGGAAAACUUGAGUGCAGAAGAGGAAAGUGGAAUUCCAUGUGUAGCGGUGAAAUGCGCAGAGAUAUGGAGGAACACCAGUGGCGAAGGCGACUUUCUGGUCUGUAACUGACGCUGAUGUGCGAAAGCGUGGGGAUCAAACAGGAUUAGAUACCCUGGUAGUCCACGCCGUAAACGAUGAGUGCUAAGUGUUAGGGGGUUUCCGCCCCUUAGUGCUGCAGCUAACGCAUUAAGCACUCCGCCUGGGGAGUACGACCGCAAGGUUGAAACUCAAAGGAAUUGACGGGGACCCGCACAAGCGGUGGAGCAUGUGGUUUAAUUCGAAGCAACGCGAAGAACCUUACCAAAUCUUGACAUCCUUUGACAACUCUAGAGAUAGAGCCUUCCCCUUCGGGGGACAAAGUGACAGGUGGUGCAUGGUUGUCGUCAGCUCGUGUCGUGAGAUGUUGGGUUAAGUCCCGCAACGAGCGCAACCCUUAAGCUUAGUUGCCAUCAUUAAGUUGGGCACUCUAAGUUGACUGCCGGUGACAAACCGGAGGAAGGUGGGGAUGACGUCAAAUCAUCAUGCCCCUUAUGAUUUGGGCUACACACGUGCUACAAUGGACAAUACAAAGGGCAGCGAAACCGCGAGGUCAAGCAAAUCCCAUAAAGUUGUUCUCAGUUCGGAUUGUAGUCUGCAACUCGACUACAUGAAGCUGGAAUCGCUAGUAAUCGUAGAUCAGCAUGCUACGGUGAAUACGUUCCCGGGUCUUGUACACACCGCCCGUCACACCACGAGAGUUUGUAACACCCGAAGCCGGUGGAGUAACCUUUUAGGAGCUAGCCGUCGAA